This is a long non-coding RNA of Lates calcarifer (barramundi perch), 2591 nucleotides long. RefSeq lists it as uncharacterized. Lineage: Eukaryota; Metazoa; Chordata; Actinopteri; Centropomidae. The record is from RefSeq and is a predicted model, not a curated record. The transcript has 7 exons.
GGAGCUCCGAGAGGCGGAGAAACAAAGUCGGAAAGCAGACUAAAACCGAGGUCUGAAGUGUUGCCUCGGUUUGUAAGUACUGUUAGAAAACUUAAAUACCGAAGAAGCCUGGAUACUAAAAUAAGCUUUGGAGCCGCUUUUUUUUGGUGAACACGAGUGAGGCUGGACGCUGAAUACACCUACAACGCGAAGGUGUCACCACUUCGUCCACCACAUGGUCCACAAUCACAGAGAUGUCGUCCACGAUCGCUGAGACAUGGUCCAUGAUCGGAGAGACACUGUUGAGGAUGAGGGAGACAUCGUCCACGAUCAGAGACGCUGUCCAUGAUCGCAGAGACCUUGUCAAAGAUGAGAGAGACGUUGUCCGUGAUCAGAGACAUUGUCCCAUGCUUCGUAGAGACCUUGCGAUAGAAUCGGCGGAGACGGGGGUCACCGAUUUGACGGCAUUGCCCGCGAUCGUGGAGACAUUGUCGAUGAUCACAGAGACAGCGUCUAUGAUCUCAGAGACAUCGUCCACGAUCACAAAGGCAUUGUCCACGAUCACAGAGACUUUGUCCAUAAUCUCAGAGACACUGUCCGCGAUCACAGAGACGUAGUCCACGAUCGCAGAGAAUCUUCAUACAAUGAAGAAGUUCUUUGAGACCAGGACAGAGGCCUCCGGGUGUCAUCACUUGGUCCACGGUCGCCGAGACAUCGUCCACAGUCGGAGAGACAAUGUUGAGGAUGAGGGAGACAUCGUCCACGAUCAGAGACGCUGUCCAUGAUCGCAGAGACCUUGUCAAAGAUGAGAGAGACGUUGUCCGUGAUCAGAGACAUUGUCCCAUGCUUCGUAGAGACCUUGCGAUAGAAUCGGCGGAGACGGGGGUCACCGAUUUGACGGCAUUGCCCGCGAUCGUGGAGACAUUGUCAAUGAUCACAGAGACAGCGUCUAUGAUCUCAGAGACAUCGUCCACGAUCACAAAGGCAUUGUCCACGAUCACAGAGACUUUGUCCAUAAUCUCAGAGACACUGUCCGCGAUCACAGAGACGUAGUCCACGAUCGCAGAGAAUCUUCAUACAAUGAAGAAGUUCUUUGAGACUAGGACAGAGGCCUCCAGGUGUCACCACUUCGUCCACCACAUGGUCCACAAUCACAGAGAUGUCGUCCACGAUCGCUGAGACAUGGUCCAUGAUCGGAGAGACACUGUUGAGGAUGAGGGAGACAUCGUCCACGAUCAGAGACGCUGUCCAUGAUCGCAGAGACCUUGUCAAAGAUGAGAGAGACGUUGUUCGUGAUCAGAGACAUUGUCCCAUGCUUCGUAGAGACCUUGCGAUAGAAUCGGCGGAGACGGGGGUCACCGAUUUGACGGCAUUGCCCGCGAUCGUGGAGACAUUGUCGAUGAUCACAGAGACAGCGUCUAUGAUCUCAGAGACAUCGUCCACGAUCACAAAGGCAUUGUCCACGAUCACAGAGACUUUGUCCAUAAUCUCAGAGACACUGUCCGCGAUCACAGAGACGUAGUCCACGAUCGCAGAGAAUCUUCAUACAAUGAAGAAGUUCUUUGAGACCAGGACAGAGGCCUCCGGGUGUCACCACUUCGUCCACCACAUGGUCCACAAUCACAGAGAUGUCGUCCACGAUCGCUGAGACAUGGUCCAUGAUCGGAGAGACACUGUUGAGGAUGAGGGAGACAUCGUCCACGAUCAGAGACGCUGUCCAUGAUCGCAGAGACCUUGUCAAAGAUGAGAGAGACGUUGUUCGUGAUCAGAGACAUUGUCCCAUGCUUCGUAGAGACCUUGCGAUAGAAUCGGCGGAGACGGGGGUCACCGAUUUGACGGCAUUGCCCGCGAUCGUGGAGACAUUGUCGAUGAUCACAGAGACAGCGUCUAUGAUCUCAGAGACAUCGUCCACGAUCACAAAGGCAUUGUCCACGAUCACAGAGACUUUGUCCAUAAUCUCAGAGACACUGUCCGCGAUCACAGAGACGUAGUCCACGAUCGCAGAGAAUCUUCAUACAAUGAAGAAGUUCUUUGAGACCAGGACAGAGGCCUCCGGGUGUCACCACUUCGUCCACCACAUGGUCCACAAUCACAGAGAUGUCGUCCACGAUCGCUGAGACAUGGUCCAUGAUCGGAGAGACACUGUUGAGGAUGAGGGAGACAUCGUCCACGAUCAGAGACGCUGUCCAUGAUCGCAGAGACCUUGUCAAAGAUGAGAGAGACGUUGUCCGUGAUCAGAGACAUUGUCCCAUGCUUCGUAGAGACCUUGCGAUAGAAUCGGCGGAGACGGGGGUCACCGAUUUGACGGCAUUGCCCGCGAUCGUGGAGACAUUGUCGAUGAUCACAGAGACAGCGUCUAUGAUCUCAGAGACAUCGUCCACGAUCACAAAGGCAUUGUCCACGAUCACAGAGACUUUGUCCAUAAUCUCAGAGACACUGUCCGCGAUCACAGAGACGUAGUCCACGAUCGCAGAGAAUCUUCAUACAAUGAAGAAGUUCUUUGAGACUAGGACAGAGGCCUCCAGGUGUCACCACUUCAUCCAUGACAUUGUCCAUGAUCGAUGAGAUGUUGUCCACUAUCACAGACUGUCUUCAUACAAUGACGUUCUUUG